RNAcentral lists this ribosomal RNA (492 nucleotides) under uncultured bacterium. Its description in RNAcentral is "partial 16S ribosomal RNA". It matches the Rfam family "Bacterial small subunit ribosomal RNA", at positions 29 to 507 of the family's 1533-position model. The record is from RNAcentral.
AUUGAACGCUGGCGGCAUGCUUUACACAUGCAAGUCGAACGGUAACAGGCCUUCGGGUGCUGACGAGUGGCGAACGGGUGAGUAAUGCAUCGGAACGUGCCCAGAGGUGGGGGAUAACGCAGCGAAAGCUGUGCUAAUACCGCAUGUGAUCUGAGGAUGAAAGCGGGGGACCAGGCAGCAAUGUUUGGCCUCGCGCCUUUGGAGCGGCCGAUGGCAGAUUAGGUAGUUGGGGGGGUAAAGGCCUACCAAGCCGACGAUCUGUAGCUGGUCUGAGAGGACGACCAGCCACACUGGGACUGAGACACGGCCCAGACUCCUACGGGAGGCAGCAGUGGGGAAUUUUGGACAAUGGGCGCAAGCCUGAUCCAGCAAUGCCGCGUGCGGGAAGAAGGCCUUCGGGUUGUAAACCGCUUUUGUACGGAACGAAAAGGCUCUGGCUAAUACCUGGGGCUGAUGACGGUACCGUAAGAAUAAGCACCGGCUAACUACGUG